Molecule: long non-coding RNA, 551 nt
Filed under: Erythranthe guttata (spotted monkey flower)
Lineage: Eukaryota; Viridiplantae; Streptophyta; Magnoliopsida; Lamiales; Phrymaceae
Description: long non-coding RNA (EGUT_LNC002881)
Source: RNAcentral
CUCGUUAUUAUCAAAAUUAAAAAAGAAGUUUAAAAAAAAAAAAAAAGUAGAAAUGAAAAUGAAGAGGCUCAGAUCUGUUUGUAAAUAGGCAAAGAGAAUAGGGCCACGCCAUGGCUGCAAAAUAACCCGGUUGCAUACGAUGAUUAAUCGCAGCCAUCCGGGUUGCCCCGCCAAGAUACGGGCCGGGUAUUCUCAAAGCCAGAUCCAUCAAUCAGCUCAGAAGGAACCCUAGAAAUUAAUCAUCACUGCCUCUGUAUACAUCGAACAAUCAAAAGCUUUUGCAAAACACCACCACCGUUCAAAAAUACACACACACACACACAAACGAGGGCUCGUUUGGCUAAACAUUAUUAGUAUUAUUAUUAUUUUUUUUCUUUAAAGGGCUGUUGGCAUUGUGAAGAAGAAAUCACUGGGUUUAGAGAGAGAAAGAGGCAACCACCCUUGAGGAAUUCCCAAACCCUAACCCUCAUUCUUUUCCUUCUGAGCUGAUUUUGUAUUUUGGGGAUUUCAGGCGUUGAUGUGUUUUAUACAUAUGAACUGAACUGUAUUGG